UUAGGAAUAUUCGUCAAUGGGGGAAACCCUGAACGAGCAAUGCCGCGUGAACGAUGACGGCCCUAUGGGUUGUAAAGUUCUGUUGUUUGGAAAGAACGGCAGAUAGAGGAAAUGCUAUCUGCAUGACGGUACCAUUCAAGAAAGCCACGGCUAACUACGUGCCAGCAGCCGCGGUAAUACGUAGGUGGCGAGCGUUAUCCGGAUUUAUUGGGCGUAAAGGGUGCGCAGACGGUUUAUUAAGUCUAAAAUCAAAUCUUGGAGCUUAACUCCAUUCCGUUUUAGAAACUGGUAGACUCGAGUAUGGUAGAGGCAAAUGGAAUUCCUAGUGUAGCGGUGGAAUGCGUAGAUAUUAGGAGGAACACCAGUGGCGAAGGCGAUUUGCUGGGCCAUUACUGACGUUCAUGCACGAAAGCGUGGGGAGCAAAUAGG
Molecule: ribosomal RNA, 429 nt
Filed under: uncultured bacterium
Lineage: Bacteria
Description: bacterial SSU rRNA
Rfam family: Bacterial small subunit ribosomal RNA
Source: RNAcentral